GCGGGUGUAGCUCAGUUGGUUAGAGCGCCGGCCUGUCACGCCGGAGGUCACGGGUUCGAGCCCCGCCACUCGCG
This 74-nucleotide transfer RNA is filed under the name Zavarzinia compransoris. It matches the Rfam family "tRNA". From Rfam's summary of the family: Transfer RNA (tRNA) molecules are approximately 80 nucleotides in length. Their secondary structure includes four short double-helical elements and three loops (D, anti-codon, and T loops). Further hydrogen bonds mediate the characteristic L-shaped molecular structure. tRNAs have two regions of fundamental functional importance: the anti-codon, which is responsible for specific mRNA codon recognition, and the 3' end, to which the tRNAs corresponding amino acid is attached (by aminoacyl-tRNA synthetases). tRNAs cope with the degeneracy of the genetic code in two manners: having more than one tRNA (with a specific anti-codon) for a particular amino acid; and 'wobble' base-pairing, i.e. permitting non-standard base-pairing at the 3rd anti-codon position. Lineage: Bacteria; Pseudomonadati; Pseudomonadota; Alphaproteobacteria; Rhodospirillales; Zavarziniaceae. The record is from Rfam by way of RNAcentral. RNAcentral also lists the same sequence under 1 other name.